Molecule: ribosomal RNA, 497 nt
Filed under: uncultured bacterium
Lineage: Bacteria
Description: partial 16S ribosomal RNA
Rfam family: Bacterial small subunit ribosomal RNA
Source: RNAcentral
GAUGAACGCUGGCGGCGUGCCUAAUACAUGCAAGUCGAGCGAACGGACGAGGAGCUUGCUCCUCUGACGUUAGCGGCGGACGGGUGAGUAACACGUGGAUAACCUACCUAUAAGACUGGGAUAACUUCGGGAAACCGUAGCUAAUACCGGAUAAUAUUUUGAACCGCAUGGUUCAAUAGUGAAAGACGGUUUUGCUGUCACUUAUAGAUGGAUCCGCGCUGCAUUAGCUAGUUGGUAAGGUAACGGCUUACCAAGGCAACGAUGCAUAGCCGACCUGAGAGGGUGAUCGGCCACACUGGAACUGAGACACGGUCCAGACUCCUACGGGAGGCAGCAGUAGGGAAUCUUCCGCAAUGGGCGAAAGCCUGACGGAGCAACGCCGCGUGAGUGAUGAAGGUCUUCGGAUCGUAAAACUCUGUUAUUAGGGAAGAACAUAUGUGUAAGUAACUGUGCACGUCUUGACGGUACCUAAUCAGAAAGCCACGGCUAACUACGUG